Molecule: ribosomal RNA, 253 nt
Filed under: uncultured bacterium
Lineage: Bacteria
Description: partial 16S ribosomal RNA
Rfam family: Bacterial small subunit ribosomal RNA
Source: RNAcentral
UACGUAGGGUGCAAGCGUUGUCCGGAAUUAUUGGGCGUAAAGAGCUCGUAGGCGGUCUGUCGCGUCGGCUGUGAAAACCCGGGGCUCAACCCCGGGCCUGCAGUCGAUACGGGCAGGCUAGAGUCCGGCAGGGGAGACUGGAAUUCCUGGUGUAGCGGUGAAAUGCGCAGAUAUCAGGAGGAACACCGGUGGCGAAGGCGGGUCUCUGGGCCGGAACUGACGCUGAGGAGCGAAAGCGUGGGGAGCGAACAGG